GACGAACGCUGGCGGCGUGCUUAACACAUGCAAGUCGAGCGGUAAGGCCCUUUCGGGGGUACGACGAGCGGCGAACGGGUGAGUAACACGUGGGUGACCUGCCCUCAGCUCUGGGAUAAGCCCUGGGAAACCGGGUCUAAUACUGGAUAUGACUCCAUGACGCAUGUUGUGGGGUGGAAAGCCUUGUGCGGCUGAGGAUGGGCCCGCGGCCUAUCAGCUUGUUGGUGGGGUGAGGGCCUACCAAGGCGACGACGGGUAGCCGGCCUGAGAGGGCGACCGGCCACACUGGGACUGAGACACGGCCCAGACUCCUACGGGAGGCAGCAGUGGGGAAUCUUGCGCAAUGGGACGAAAGCCUGACGCAGCGACGCCGCGUGAGGAUGACGGCCU
Molecule: ribosomal RNA, 390 nt
Filed under: uncultured bacterium
Lineage: Bacteria
Description: bacterial SSU rRNA
Rfam family: Bacterial small subunit ribosomal RNA
Source: RNAcentral